RNAcentral lists this non-coding RNA (972 nucleotides) under Fukomys damarensis (Damara mole-rat). Lineage: Eukaryota; Metazoa; Chordata; Mammalia; Rodentia; Bathyergidae. The record is from Rfam by way of RNAcentral.
AAACAUAAAUGUUUGGUCCUAGCUUUUUUAUUAAUUGCAAGCAAAAUUACACAUGCAAGAAUCCUCAAACUGGUGAGAAUGCCCUUCAAAUCAUGAUGACCAAAAGGAGUGGGUGUCAAGUACACAUAAUAGCAGCUCAUUACACCUUGCUCAACCACACCCCCACGGGAAACAGCAAUGAUAAAAAUUAAGCAAUAAACGAAAGUUUGAUUUAGUUAUGUAAUAUAAUAAGGUUGGUAAAUUUCGUGCCAGGCACCGUGGUCAUAUGAUUAACCCAAAUUAAUAAAUACCGGAGUGAAGAGUGGCUAAGUAUAUAGUCCCACUAUAUAGUCCCAAUUAAGAUUCAAUUCUAUCUGGGUCAUAAAAAAUUACAGAUAGACUAAAACCCAGUACACGCAAGUAAUCCUAAUACAUCUGAAUACACGAGUGAUUAGAUACUCCACUAUGCUAAGCUAUAAACAUAAAAUAUUGAAUACAAACAAAAUAUUUCUCCCGAGAACUACUAGCCAUGGCUAAAAACUCAAAGGACUUAGUGUUGCUUUACAUCCAUCUAGAGGAGCCUGUUCUGUAAUUGAUAAAUCCCGAUAAACCUCACCACUUCUUGCUAAUUCAGCCUAUUUACCACCAUCUUCAGUGAACCUUAACAAAGCAUAAAAGUAAGCACAAGUAUUAACAUAAAAACCUUAGGUCAAGGUGCAGCCAAUGAAGUGGGAAGAAAUGGGCUACGAUUUCUUUACUAAGAAUAUUUAUAUGAAAACCAUUAUGAAAAUUAAUGGUCGAAGGAGGAUUUAGUAGUAAACUAAGAAUAGAGAGCUUAGUUAAAUACGGCCAUGAAGCACGCACAAACCACCUGUCACCCUCCUUGAAUUCCUACAAUCCUACUUAAAAACAUUAAACAAGGAACAUGACAUGAAAGGAGGUAAGUCGUAACAAGGUAAGCAUACUGGAAAGUGUGCUUGGAUAAUCAAAGCA